Molecule: transfer RNA, 71 nt
Filed under: Climacteris picumnus (brown treecreeper)
Lineage: Eukaryota; Metazoa; Chordata; Aves; Passeriformes; Climacteridae
Description: tRNA-Phe
Rfam family: tRNA
About the family: Transfer RNA (tRNA) molecules are approximately 80 nucleotides in length. Their secondary structure includes four short double-helical elements and three loops (D, anti-codon, and T loops). Further hydrogen bonds mediate the characteristic L-shaped molecular structure. tRNAs have two regions of fundamental functional importance: the anti-codon, which is responsible for specific mRNA codon recognition, and the 3' end, to which the tRNAs corresponding amino acid is attached (by aminoacyl-tRNA synthetases). tRNAs cope with the degeneracy of the genetic code in two manners: having more than one tRNA (with a specific anti-codon) for a particular amino acid; and 'wobble' base-pairing, i.e. permitting non-standard base-pairing at the 3rd anti-codon position.
Source: RNAcentral
GUCCCUGUAGCUUAACACUAAAGCACGACACUGAAGCUGUCAAGAUGGCUGCCCCAAUGCACCCAAGGACA